Molecule: ribosomal RNA, 440 nt
Filed under: uncultured bacterium
Lineage: Bacteria
Description: partial 16S ribosomal RNA
Rfam family: Bacterial small subunit ribosomal RNA
Source: RNAcentral
CCUACGGGAGGCAGCAGUAGGGAAUAUUGGUCAAUGGGGGAAACCCUGAACCAGCAACGCCGCGUGGAGGAUGAAGGUUCUCGGAUUGUAAAGCUCUUUUGUUAGAGAAGAAAAUGACGCUAUCUAUGGAUUAAGCACCGGCUAACUCUGCGCCAGCACCGGCGGUAAUACGGAGGGUGCAAGCGUGACUCGGAAUCUCUGUGCGUAAAGAGGGCGUAGGCGGGAUAGCAAGUCAGAUGUGAAAUCCUCUGGCUUAACCAUAGAACUGCAUUUGAGACUGUGAUUCUGGGGUAUGGGAGAGGUAGGUGGAAUUCUUGGUGUAGCGGUGAAAUCCGUAGAUAUCAGGAGGAAUACUCAUUGCGAAGGCGACCUGCUGGAACGUAACUGACGCUGAUGCGCGAAAGCGUGGGGAGCAAACAGGAUUAGAUACCCUUGUAGUC